ACACUGUCUGUGAAUCAGAGACCAACAUAUCCUGUAACAAAACACACAGUCAGGAAUCAUGACUAUAGCCGGCAAUCGCUCACAGAAUUUUUGUUUGCUUUUCCUACAACUUGCAGGGGGAGUGUUUCCAACAGUGGACAGAUCAAUGGUUUCACUGAAUUGGAAGCUGGGACUGCCACAAGGCCUUGCUAGUCUCAUCCCUGAGACCAAGUGCCUAAGGGUGUGAUGCUGGAGUAGUGGCAGCCAUCUUGAGACCAUGAGGGAACAAGCCUGAGACUAUACUGGAUCCUUGAAGACAUGAAGACAUUGGUGAGCUACUGAAUUAAUCAACCUUGGAGAAACCCUAUCACCAGACUCCUUGUUGCUUGUGGUUGACAUUGUUAACUGUCCUCUCAUGACCAUUCUUCCUGUCAUCCUUCUAGUAAUAAAACGUAUUGAGUUUUAGUUGGACAUCUGGGAGCCCCAGUUGCAAACUACCCUUUCUAGCAUCCUUGGCAGUUGGGUGUGGUCAUGUGACUAAGUCCAGGCCGAUGGGACAUACACAGAAGUGAUUCCUACAAUUUCUGUAUUAUUUCCUUAAGGAUGUUUGCCUUCACACUACUAUAUAUAAAAUAGACAACUGAUAAGGACCUAUUGUACUCUACUCAAUAAUCUGUAAUGACCUACAUGGGAAAAGAAUCUAAAAAAGAGUGGAUAUAUGUAUAUGUGGGUUUCCCUCGUGGUUCAGACAGUAAAGAAUCACUUUCACUUUUCAUGCUUAUGUAUACAACUCGUUCACUUUGCUGUGCA
RNAcentral lists this long non-coding RNA (789 nucleotides) under Bos grunniens (domestic yak). RNAcentral's name for it is "lncRNA (ENSBGRG00000013048.1)". The record is from RNAcentral. Lineage: Eukaryota; Metazoa; Chordata; Mammalia; Artiodactyla; Bovidae.